GGGAAUGUCGUCUAGUGGUUAAGACCUUAUCUUUUUAAGUUAAUUACAUAGGUUCAAAUCCUAUCUUUCCUA
Molecule: non-coding RNA, 72 nt
Organism: Lodderomyces oxycetoniae
Lineage: Eukaryota; Fungi; Ascomycota; Pichiomycetes; Serinales; Debaryomycetaceae
Source: the annotation of a RefSeq genome assembly